UUGGGCGUAAAGAGCUGUAGGCGGUUUGUCGCGUCUGCUGUGAAAAUCCGGGGCUCAACCCCGGACUUGCAGUGGGUACGGGCAGACUAGAGUGUGGUAGGGGAGACUGGAAUUCCUGGUGUAGCGGUGAAAUGCGCAGAUAUCAGGAGGAACACCGAUGGCGAAGGCAGGUCUCUGGGCCACUACUGACGCUGAGAAGCGAAAGCAUGGGGAGCGAACAGGAUUAGAUACCCUGGUAGUCCAUGCCGUAAACGUUGGGCGCUAGGUGUGGGACUCAUUCCACGAGUUCCGUGCCGCAGCUAACGCAUUAAGCGCCCCGCCUGGGGAGUACGGCCGCAAGGCUAAAACUCAAAGGAAUUGACGGGGGCCCGCACAAGCGGCGGAGCAUGCGGAUUAAUUCGAUGCAACGCGAAGAACCUUACCAAGGCUUGACAUAUACCGGAAACAUCCAGAGAUGGGUGCCCCUUUUGGUCGGUAUACAGGUGGUGCAUGGUUGUCGUCAGCUCGUGUCGUGAGAUGUUGGGUUAAGUCCCGCAACGAGCGCAACCCUCGUUCUAUGUUGCCAGCACGUAAAGGUGGGGACUCAUAGGAGACUGCCGGGGUCAACUCGGAGGAAGGUGGGGAUGACGUCAAAUCAUCAUGCCCCUUAUGUCUUGGGCUUCACGCAUGCUACAAUGGCCGGUACAAAGGGCUGCGAUACCGCAAGGUGGAGCGAAUCCCAAAAAACCGGUCUCAGUUCGGAUUGGGGUCUGCAACUCGACCCCAUGAAGUCGGAGUCGCUAGUAAUCGCAGAUCAGCAACGCUGCGGUGAAUACGUUCCCGGGCCUUGUACACACCGCCCGUCAAGUCACGAAAGUCGGUAACACCCGAAGCCGG
This 876-nucleotide ribosomal RNA is filed under the name Janibacter sp. RNAcentral's name for it is "bacterial SSU rRNA". It matches the Rfam family "Bacterial small subunit ribosomal RNA", at positions 554 to 1430 of the family's 1533-position model. Lineage: Bacteria; Bacillati; Actinomycetota; Actinomycetes; Micrococcales; Intrasporangiaceae. The record is from RNAcentral.